AGUGAACGCUGGCGGUAGGCCUAACACAUGCAAGUCGAACGGCAGCACAGGAGAGCUUGCUCUCUGGGUGGCGAGUGGCGGACGGGUGAGGAAUACAUCGGAAUCUACUUUUUCGUGGGGGAUAACGUAGGGAAACUUACGCUAAUACCGCAUACGACCUACGGGUGAAAGCAGGGGAUCUUCGGACCUUGCGCGAUUGAAUGAGCCGAUGUCGGAUUAGCUAGUUGGCGGGGUAAAGGCCCACCAAGGCGACGAUCCGUAGCUGGUCUGAGAGGAAGAGCAGCCACACUGGAACUGCGACACGGUCCAGACUCCUACGGGAGGGAGCAGUGGGGAAUAUUGGACAGUGGGCGCAAGCCUGAUCCAGCCAUACCGCGUGGGUGAAGAAGGCCUUCGGGUUGUAAAGCCCUUUUGUUGGGAAAGAAAUCCAGCUGGUUAAUACCCGGUUGGGAUGACGGUACCCAAAGAAUAAGCACCGGCUAACUUCGUGCCAGCCGCCGCCGUAA
RNAcentral lists this ribosomal RNA (506 nucleotides) under uncultured bacterium. RNAcentral describes it as "partial 16S ribosomal RNA". It matches the Rfam family "Bacterial small subunit ribosomal RNA", at positions 29 to 523 of the family's 1533-position model. The record is from RNAcentral.